RNAcentral lists this ribosomal RNA (262 nucleotides) under uncultured bacterium. RNAcentral's name for it is "partial 16S ribosomal RNA". It matches the Rfam family "Bacterial small subunit ribosomal RNA", at positions 793 to 1055 of the family's 1533-position model. The record is from RNAcentral.
GUCCACGCCGUAAACGUUGGGCACUAGGUGUGGGGAUCUAUCGACGGUUUCCGUGCCGAAGCUAACGCAUUAAGUGCCCCGCCUGGGGAGUACGGCCGCAAGGCUAAAACUCAAAGGAAUUGACGGGGGCCCGCACAAGCGGCGGAGCAUGUGGCUUAAUUCGAUGCAACGCGAAGAACCUUACCAAGGCUUGACAUGCUGGGUAAUCCGUGGAAACACGGUGAUCCUUCGGGAUCCAGCGCAGGUGGUGCAUGGCUGUCGU